Molecule: transfer RNA, 67 nt
Filed under: Opisthorchis felineus
Lineage: Eukaryota; Metazoa; Platyhelminthes; Trematoda; Opisthorchiida; Opisthorchiidae
Description: tRNA-Gly
Source: RNAcentral
AUGCGGGUAGUAUAAUGUUGAGUAUGCUGUCUUUCCAAGUCAGGGGUCUCGUUGAUGGGUCCGUGUA